Molecule: ribosomal RNA, 492 nt
Filed under: uncultured bacterium
Lineage: Bacteria
Description: partial 16S ribosomal RNA
Rfam family: Bacterial small subunit ribosomal RNA
Source: RNAcentral
AGUGAACGCUGGCGGUAGGCCUAACACAUGCAAGUCGAACGGCAGCACAGUAAGAGCUUGCUCUUACGGGUGGCGAGUGGCGGACGGGUGAGGAAUACAUCGGAAUCUACUUUUUCGUGGGGGAUAACGUAGGGAAACUUACGCUAAUACCGCAUACGACCUACGGGUGAAAGCAGGGGAUCUUCGGACCUUGCGCGAUUGAAUGAGCCGAUGUCGGAUUAGCUAGUUGGCGGGGUAAAGGCCCACCAAGGCGACGAUCCGUAGUUGGUCUGAGAGGGUGAUCAGCCACACUGGAACUGAGACACGGUCCAGACUCCUACGGGAGGCAGCAGUGGGGAAUAUUGGACAAUGGGCGCAAGCCUGAUCCAGCCAUACCGCGUGGGUGAAGAAGGCCUUCGGGUUGUAAAGCCCUUUUGUUGGGAAAGAAAAGCAGCAGGUUAAUACCCCGCUGUUCUGACGGUACCCAAAGAAUAAGCACCGGCUAACUUCGUG